Molecule: long non-coding RNA, 3923 nt
Organism: Homo sapiens (human)
Lineage: Eukaryota; Metazoa; Chordata; Mammalia; Primates; Hominidae
Gene: PART1
Product: prostate androgen-regulated transcript 1
Source: Ensembl
AAAGCUGAAAGGGCUGCACUGGAACAACACAGAUGAGAUAUUCUACACAUUAAUCUACUUAUCUGGAAUCACUUUGCCUCUAAAGGCCAGAGAAAAAUCACAGCUUCCUUGUCGGAGGGGAAAAGGACAGGUGAUCUGGGGAAAACGCAGCUACACCUGGAGCAAGGUCUCUUCCCGGCUUGGCAAUCUCAGCUGUGCCGGCGCUACGGGACCCGAGCCGUCCCAGAAACCAAAGGGCAGGCACGGCAGCAAACGCCUGAGGACUGAGAAGACGUCAAGGUCCAGACACUCGUCAUUAACACCUACUCACAACCGAUUCCCCCACCCACUUUGGCCUCACCAAGAUUUGGCAAGCAGGAGAAUUAAAUGUCACUUUGCUACCAUCCUCUGCUGAACCUCCAACAGAAAAACCCAUAUUGCCCAAGUACAAAGCAUGAAAUACUGCUGGCCUACCCUGACUUUUCAGCUAUUCUCCUUGCAUAUAGUAAAUGACUCCCCAGGAGACAUCAUCUUAAAGUCUGAGACACAAAAAAGGACCCAAAGUCCUAUAUGCUUGAAGAAUUGCAUGGCAAUAUAUUUAGUUAACAUUUUCUAUUUUAUUAGAAAAAACAGACAAUUCAAUUGUCGAUGUGAUCGUUUCAGGCUUCCCAGCCUCUCCUUUCUGACAUCAUCCUAUAUACUACAACCUCCACCAGAAAAGCAGUAUGGUACUGGGAAAAAGAGAUCUAAAGGCAGAACACUAGGGCUUCACUCUCAGCACUGUUAACUGAGUGACUUGACUAAGUCACUGAAAUUCACUGAAACUGCAGUUUCCCCUUCUGUCAAAGGGGGAUAACAAUAUCAGCUUCACAGGGUGCUGUGAAGGAAGCAAAUGAGAAAAUGAAAGUGAGCAUCCUUUUAAAUUAUAAACAGAGAAUAAGGGAGAGGGGAGGGGGAAGGGGAGAGGAGGAAGAAAGGAAACAAUCUGCCCUCCCUCACCCCUUCACACUAGGUAAAAUAAAAUGUUUAGACAGAAAAACCUAAAGAAAAGGAUCCAAAUAAAAUAUUCUUAGGAACUGUCAAAGGGAGAAGACAUUGGAAUCUCCAAAUCUGGCCAAGAGCUCAGCCUAAGCAGCAUGUUUUGAACUCCUGAGUCCUUGGAACCCUGCACUAAAGCUUUGGGACUCUGACCUGCAGGAAAAAAAAAAAAAAAAUGCUUCCCUCAGUUCAUUCCCUGUAGUUUAAAAACAAGAGCAACUAAAGGGCAAGCUUCGGGGGCAAGGGGAGACAAACACCUCAGACCAUUAACUUACUUUAUCCCCAUUGGAAAUCAACUUCUGGAGAACAUUUCAGCUUUGUAUGCUCUUCUUGGUCCCACUCAAAUGGGAAGUUCUGCUCGAGGCCAGAAAUAGAAAACAGGAAGUCAACAGAACUGAUUUUCCUAACUGCCCAAAUGCAAAUCACCACACUCCGUUAUGGAUGAGAAUUAGAGUAAAAUGUAAACUUCUUUUUAAAAAGAAGUUCACAUGCUAACUGUGUACAGAAAACAUCCUACUCCAGGGAAGAAAGAAAGAAAGAAAGAAAGGAAAGAUCCAUCAGCUUCCUUCCUUAAUAAAGGAGGAUUGACAGAGCUGGACUGACAGUGAAGUAAAGGUUACCGACGGUGUGCUCAUCAGAACCAUGCUGCCACUAAAAAUAAUGAAGUGUCCCACUUUGAUGCGACACUAUUCUCCAAGUUGGUUCCUCUAAAGGUGCUUUUCUUCAAGGGAAGCAGAUACUAAAGUGACAACUUUCUCAUUACCAUUCAGACUAUUUUCUUAGAGUCCCAGGUUUGAAACUUUCAAGUUGAAACUCUAAGCUGCACCCACUGCAUACAGACUUCUUAGUCAGUUUCUGUCACGUACCAUCAUAUCUACCUUAUUUGCAUCAGUCAUAAAUUCUGCUCAUUCUUCUAUCACAGCUCCUCUGACAUUUGCCAGACCUCACCAUUUCCUCAGCCAUUUCUGGUCUGAAUCAUCAGCCCCCCAUGCCUGCUGCCUGCUCUCUUCUAUAAACAUACCAGAUGAAUCUUUCCAGCAUGCUGCUUCCCCUGCCCCCAAGUCAGCCACAGUUCCCUACUACCUAUUGAUCACAUCUGAGUUGCCUCAGCCAGUGGUCUUGCCAUAUCUACCUAGCUUAGGCUGAGUGUUAUAGGAGAAAGUGCACUAGCCCGGGCACCAGAUGGAUCAGCCUGCCUUGUACUUCAUGCAGGUUGAACAGAAAUGUUUUCUGAGCAUGUAUUGUUACAGCCCUCUGAGAUGGUAUAAAAGAAUGAAAGAAGACACGACCUGCCUUCCAGGAGUUUCACAAAAAAGAUGGGAUGAACACAGAAAACAAUAUGGCCCAGUUCCUGGCUUUUGAAGAACUAGAGAAAAUCAUCAUCAUUGGUGCCUCCAAGGCUCUUUGGUUGGUUCUGCAAUCAUAGGAACCCUUACCUGGUCUCCUGAGACAUUCUCCUCUCUCCACACCAUAGUACAACACCACCCACACACCUGAUGGCAGAGCUUUUAGGGACGGGUAAAUUGAAGCAAAAAGCAGACAAGUUCUAUGGGAUUUGCUGGCAUUGAUUUCCCAGGAUGGCAAAGUGCUAAGAACUAAACCUUUAAAGCUAACAAAAUGUACUGAUGUCUUUGCAAAGUAUCCAAGACCAACAAGAAAGUAAUUUCCCACCUCACCCUACCACCACCCAGAAAAGGAGCACAGAGAUGGGGAAGAGAGUGGCUGCAUCUGGCAUCCAGCCAGAGGAGUCCGUGCAGGGAUUCUGGAUCCCUCUUCCCCCACCCCACUGCCCUUCCCCCUCCACCCCAGCGUUUUGGAGAAGCAAGAAACUGUGAUGAUGCAGCUCCCUCAAGUAUCACAUGAAGAUAGUGGAAAGAGCCUCCUGAGGUAAAUAUGCCAUGUAGACAGAAACAAGCAAUGGCUCAACAGCAAUGUAUGAGGUCCAAGGACCAGGACCAAAGGGAAAAACAGCCAUCUCACCAGACACCUGCCUACGACCAGAUGCGUCAUCUCCAAUAUUAGCUAACUCCCUGGAACCUGGACUCAAGGUGUGAAAUAAAGGUUAAUGGGAAACCGCAGGAGUCAAAAGGAGGGGGCAGGAUUAUUGAGGAUUCAGGCUGUUGAGAAAUGAAAGUUUGGAUCACUCCCCAGAUAAAGAACCUUGACCAUUUAAGGGCAAUGGAAAUACAGAAUAGGCAGUAGAAGAAGGAAGCCAUAGAUACCAACUAUGGCCUCUCAAUCAAUUACAAAACUGAGAAUUCUGACAGUUUUGUGUAUUUCCUCUUUGCAUGUGAUGUAUAUGUGUGUAUUUGUAUAUAUUAACCAUUUUCCUUUUUCUCUCUUCAUUAUUUUAUGAAAGUUGUUGAAUAUAAACUCUACAAUUUAGCCUUUAGGUAAGAGAAUAUUCAGUGGGACUUUGAUUUGAGGAGUAUUUAAGACAGCCAGAUGAGACUACGAUAACUGUUGGAACUGUGUGUCUCCUCAUUUGGGGAAAGGGGUGAGAACUCUGCAUUUCUCUGAAGAACAGAGUUGACUUUGUGUUAUACAGAGUUCAAAUAUAUAUAUAAAAUGGUGCAUGUGGAAGCUAAGAAGCCAAAGGAGUUCACCAAGACAGUUAUCAAUAUAUUGCCUCUCCGCUCCAAAUCCACCCUUCUUUGCCCUGUUCCACGAUACUAAUCUGGCUCCUCGGUCAGCCAGUGCAAUGUCAUCUGUUGCUGGUAGAGUGUAGGGGAGACACUACAAGGUAUAGUAAAGGGGUCAGAUGCGGUGUCUCAUGCCUGUAAUCACAGCCCUUUGGGAGGCAGAGGCAGGAGGAUCACCUGAGGCCAGGAGUUUGAGACCAGCCUGGACAACAUGGUAAAACCCCAUCUCUACUGAAAAUACAAAAUUAGCACGCACCUGUAAUC